CCUACUUGUAUUAUUUUGUACAAAAGCGGCCAAAUCAACAUAAAACUGAUCAAGGAUAAGAAGGCAGUUGCCCAACCAAACGUCGUUGUCCCAUCCGUUGUCAUUUUUGAAUUGCAAUGGUCGUUGUCUUCCAAUGUCUGGUCGUUCAAUUCUAAAUACGAUUUUGAAUUGCAACUGGCCUAACUUGCAGUUGACAUACAGGGAUAUGCUGACGAUUUCGAAA
This is a non-coding RNA of Paramuricea clavata, 223 nucleotides long. Lineage: Eukaryota; Metazoa; Cnidaria; Anthozoa; Malacalcyonacea; Plexauridae. The record is from the annotation of a GenBank genome assembly.